UCCCGGCGGUCCAAGUCGCAUCCACAAUUAUUGGGUCUAAAACAUUCGUAGCUUGUUUUGUAAGUCUCUUGUGAAAUUCCAUAUCUCAAGUAUGGAGCGUGCAAGAGAUACUACUUAACUAGAGACCGGAAGAUGCAAAGAGUACGAUGGAGGUAGCGGUAAAAUGUGUUAAUCUUUGUCGGACUAACAAUGGCGAAGGCACUUUGCAAGUACGGAUCUGACAGUGAGGAAUGAAGGCUAGGGGCGCAAAAGG
Molecule: ribosomal RNA, 253 nt
Filed under: uncultured archaeon
Lineage: Archaea
Description: partial 16S ribosomal RNA
Rfam family: Archaeal small subunit ribosomal RNA
Source: RNAcentral